UUUAAGCAUAUCACUCAGUGGAGGAAGAGCAAGCAACUGCGAUUGCUCCAGUAACGGCGAGUGAACUGGCAAUACCUGGCUCAUCCCGAAGUGAAUCCCAUUGGCAACACCCUGCCCCCUUCCAAAGGGGUGUGUUGGGCGUUUGCGAACGGCUUUCGUGGAUCUCAGCAGAUGCUGUGGGCAAUGGAGCAGGCGGCAGUGCCACCGGUGACCAUCCGCACCAGGAAAGGCCCUGGAAUGGCCUACCACAGAGGGAUACUGUCCCCCACGACGCUGUGUGUGGGUGGUUGCCGGAGGCGUUGCUGCCUGCAUCCAGGAGUAGAGUGGCUUGGGACUGCAGUUUGAAGUGCAAGGUGUAUCCCUUGCAAGGCAGAAUACCAACAUGGGACCGAUAGAGCACAAGUAGAGCGAUUGAAGGAUGCAAAGGACUCUGCAAAGAGGGUUAAAAGUCCCUGAAGCUGCAACAGGAACAGUGGAGAGUGGUGCUGUGGCUCGCCAGUCUGGCCCAGCCCGCCCCCUCGGCAGUGCCUGGCCCCGACGAAGCAAAGCCCCGAGGAGGGGAUUCCCCUUUGCCUGUCCGGAGGGGCCGCCGCCGAUGGGACGGGUCGAGAGAGGCCCUGGCCCCUUGUGAAAUCGAAACCCAAGCAACCUUGGGCCGGCCCAGUGCUGGCCACUGAGCCCUUCCCCGCAGGGGGGGACGCAAUCGUGGCAGCAUUUGGUGGCACCCUGCCUGGCAGGGCCUGAGGUGGAAGAGAGAGAGCGAUCCCCUGAGAGUGUGAUCACACCCACACCGUGACGACCCCUCUCUCCCACGGCACCUGCUGUGUGAGAGAGAGAGAGAGAAAGAAAAGGACGGGUCUCGUGUGUGUGGAGGAGAGAGCAACACCUGGCUGGAACCUGGGGCACCUUUUCAGGUAGCCCCAGUCAUCAUUGCCCAGUGGUAUAUGGACCUGGAGCCUGUGGCACAGCGACGGUGGCUGCACUGGUUUGUGCUGGUGGCCCUGUGCGGCCAUGGGCUCCCCAGAUGGUGCAAUGUGCAGGUUGGCAGCUUGAGCUUGGCAGUGUCAGUGCCACUCUCUGCCCGUCUUGAAACACGGACCAAGGAGUCUAUGGAGCUUGCAUGUUGGCUGGUUUGACCUGAAGCCCAGAGCGAAGGGCGUAGUGAAGGCAACUCUCCCAGAUGAUGUGGCUGCUGUUGCGAGGAGAGGAGAGAGAGAGAGAGAGAAAGCAACGGCGAAGACCGGGCUGCAUGGGACACCGGUUCCGAAGUCCAGUGGACAGGAUUCUGAGUGCUUGCAAGGUCCAUGGGACCCGAAAGGUGGCGAACUAUACCGUUCCACGACGAAGCCGUGGGAAACUGCGGUGGAGGUCGGUCGCUGUUCUGACGUGCAAAUUGUGUAGCCUGAGUGCGGCAUAGGGGUGAAAGGCCAAUCGAGCCACCUAGUAGCUGGUUUCCCUCGAAGUUUCCUCAGGAUAGCA
Molecule: ribosomal RNA, 1479 nt
Filed under: Euglenaria clavata
Lineage: Eukaryota; Euglenozoa; Euglenophyceae; Euglenales; Euglenaceae
Description: partial large subunit ribosomal RNA
Rfam family: Eukaryotic large subunit ribosomal RNA
Source: RNAcentral